RNAcentral lists this small RNA (106 nucleotides) under Marmota monax (woodchuck). The record is from RNAcentral. Lineage: Eukaryota; Metazoa; Chordata; Mammalia; Rodentia; Sciuridae.
GCUGGCAUGGUGGUGUGUGCCUGUAACCCCAGCAACUUGGGAGGCUGAGGCAGGAGGAUCACAAAUUCAAAGGCAGCCUGAGUACCUUAGUGAGAUCCUGUCUCAA